UACGAAGGGUGCAAGCGUUAAUCGGAAUUACUGGGCGUAAAGCGUGCGUAGGCGGUCUUUUAAGUCUGCUGUGAAAUCCCCGGGCUCAACCUGGGAAUGGCAGUGGAUACUGGGAGGCUAGAGUGUGUCAGAGGAUGGUGGAAUUCCCGGUGUAGCGGUGAAAUGCGUAGAGAUCGAGAGGAACAUCAGUGGCGAAGGCGGCCAUCUGGGACAACACUGACGCUGAGGCACGAAAGCGUGGGGAGCAAACAGG
Molecule: ribosomal RNA, 253 nt
Filed under: uncultured bacterium
Lineage: Bacteria
Description: partial 16S ribosomal RNA
Rfam family: Bacterial small subunit ribosomal RNA
Source: RNAcentral